CUCCAAAUAAUUGGGCUUUCGGCCCUUACAUAAUAAAGCCCAAAAUAAAUAAUAAAACAGGAGUUUAAGGCUUCAUUAAUUAUAAAAUAAUUAGCUCCAAGUCCAAAUCUCUAAACUCUUCCAAAAAUCCAUGCUAAUCUUCAUCAAUUCUCGACUUUCACCGACGUCUUCCAUCCAUGAGCAUCCAUCUUCAAUUCCUCUAAUUCUUGCGCCAAAAUAUCACAAACAUAUAAAAUCAUGGCAAAACAC
This 249-nucleotide long non-coding RNA is filed under the name Salvia miltiorrhiza (redroot sage). Its description in RNAcentral is "long non-coding RNA (SMIL_LNC013602)". Lineage: Eukaryota; Viridiplantae; Streptophyta; Magnoliopsida; Lamiales; Lamiaceae. The record is from RNAcentral.